This 41649-nucleotide long non-coding RNA is filed under the name Capsicum annuum. Its description in RNAcentral is "long non-coding RNA (CANN_LNC011923)". Lineage: Eukaryota; Viridiplantae; Streptophyta; Magnoliopsida; Solanales; Solanaceae. The record is from RNAcentral.
UUUUUUUUUUUUUUGCUUUUCGUUAUCUAUAUCGUCUGACAUAAAGUUUCAUGUGCGAUACUAACUAAAUGUAUGUAUUAUCUGAAGAGAUUUGAAUGGAAAAGAUCAGGCAAAGUAAUAAUGUAAUUAAUUAUAUAAUCUUGAUAGGGGUAUGAUGUUUUAUUAUUGUUUGACUCAAAUAUUGUGUAUUAUAGGCUAAUUCAAAAAAAAAUUAAAAAAUUGUCGCUCUCAUUAUACCACUUUUGCUAUCCGAUGAUGAUAAUGAUAUGUAUAUAAUCUAUAUUAAUAUUUGUAUUUAUAUCUGUAUCUAUUAUGAAUAUAUAAUCUAUAUCUAUAUCUAUAUCUAUAAUUCUAUAAUAAUAAUAAUCUAUUAAAAGUGUGAAGGGCCUUAAAAAUGUUGUUUGAACUUUUUGUUCUUUUAUUAAAAGUUUUUGCUUUACACAAAAUCGUCUUUUCACUAUUUUUUCCUAAUAUUUAAAAGUUGAAAAUUAAUUAAAUAUAUUUAUAGUAAAACCUUUUCUUAUUAGAAGUCAUCAAAAUUUAAUGACAAAUAAUACUAAUCCCAUUACUUUAAAAAUUCUAAAUUAGCUAAGUUUAAUUUUAAGAAGAUUUGAAAAAUCUAGAAAUAGAUAUAAAAAAUGUUAGAAUAAGAAAAAUUGAAGAAGUAUAAAAAUUUUAAAAGUUUUAACUACAUAAUAAAAAUGUAAUCAAUGAUUUUAUAAAGAUUUGACUUUAAAAAUAAAGAAAAACUUUAAAUAUAGGAAAAAAAGGAAGAAAAUAAUCAUACCACAGAUAUGGUUUAAAUUNNNNNNNNNNNNNNNNNNNNNNNNNNNNNNNNNNNNNNNNNNNNNNNNNNNNNNNNNNNNNNNNNNNNNNNNNNNNNNNNNNNNNNUACCAAAAUAUUUGCUUAGGUUUACAUUAUUAUUAAAAAAAGUGCGAAAGAUCGUUGAAAAGUGAUUUAAACUUUUUACAUUUCAUUAAAAUCUCUGCAAUAGAAAAAAUAUUUAAUUUUAAAUAAUCAAACGUUACAUGUGCGAGACAUGUGCGGUCAUACUAGUACUAUAUUAAAAAUGUGAAGAUACUUAUAAAUCUGGUUUAAACUUUUUGUCAUUCAUUAAAAAUCUCCACAAUAGAUAAGAACGUCUUCUUACGUAUUUUAUCCAAUUAUUAUAUUAUUAAAUUAUUUUUCUAAUGCUUACUAUUUUAAAGUUAAUUACUAUUUUAAAGUUAAUUAAAAUUCUUUUUUAUCUAAAUAAAGAAUCAUGCUAUUUAACACUUUUAAAUCAAUUAAAAGUUAUCUUAUAUAAAAAAAAAAGUUUUAUAAUUUUAUUUAAAUAAAGAACUUAAACUGUCAAAAUUUGAGAAAAAAAUCUUGUUAAUAGAGGGGAAUAAAAAAUAAAUCAAACACCAAAACAAGAACUAAAGAAGUAAGAAGUGACUUUAGAAAAAAAAAAACUAAAAAUGCCAAAAAUUCAGGAAAAAUUCGGCUAAUAGAGGGGGAAAAAAUGAAUCCCGUGCCAAGUAUUUUGUGGGGAAACUCAGCUAUUUAGGAAAAAGCUAUGCAUCAAAAGAAAAAAAAUGUAAUAACCAAACUAAGAAAAAAGCUAUCAAUGGAAAGGAAAAAAAAUUUAAGAAUAAAAAAAAAGAAGGUAUAAUAAUUAUCCUAAGAUUUAGUACUUUCAAAUUAAUUAAAAUUCUUAUUUUAUUUAGAUAAGAAAUAAUCAUAUUUAAAAUUUUAAAUACAUUAAAAUUUUUCUUUAUAUAUAUAAAAAAGAAUAUCCAUGAUUCGAUUUAAACAAUAUUUUGAUCAAAUUUACUAGAAACAUACAUGUGAUUAUUAUAGUUCGUUUUUUUUCUUUUUGAUGAUUGAUUAAAGUUUUUCUUGCAUCCAUUAUCAUUAUUCUUUUUAGCUUUUUUUAUUCCUUUUACUUAAUAAAUUUAAAUACUAUAUAUAAUUUAUACAUAAUCAAUAAUUGACUAUGAAUUGUCCCCUUUUGAUAGUUUCUCAUGUUUAUCUUUUAUUUGAAAAUUUCUGAUAGAAAUAUUGUACGAAACAAGCAUGUUGCAGCUGAAUGAAAUAAUCGAAAAAAUCAAAGGUUAUCUCCCCUUUUCAGUUUUUGUGCAGGAAUAUUAGUUUUCUUUUUAGUUACCAUAACUUUUAUCCUUUUCACAUGCACUCGAUAGUUUAAAGGUAUAUUUGCUAUUUAUUCAGAUAAUAUGUAGUGCUAAUUUUUUUAAAGAUAAUAUUAUAUAACACUAUUAUCAUAAUGAUCCUAUUGAUUCGAUUAUUAUUAGUUUUCUUUCUGAAAAAUAUUUAUGCACUAUUUAUUUGAUAUAUGAUAUAGUUCAUGUUGGAAUGUUGAAAUUAGCGUUCUUUGUUAUAAAAGUAAAAAUAAAUUCUUUUUUUUUCCAGCUUGAAAAUUAGUAUUUUAAAGUUCAAAUUAAUUACUUGAGUCAAGUUUAUGAAAUACUUAUGAUUUUUAAGUUUGUUUUUAAAUUCAUCCUUUUAGCCGUUGCUAAGUUCAAAUUGUAUUGUAGGUGUUUGACCUCAUAGAAAAAUUGCAGACAUAUCGUCGUGUAUGCCAAGUAAUAUAUUAUUUAUAGUUACGUAUUAAAGUUAAGUAAUAUGUGAAUUCAUAUAUAGUAUACAUAUAUAUAUGCAAUAAGCGCAUAUUGCUAUUUUUUAUCUUCAGUUGCUAGCUCCUAAUUAUGCUUCUCAGGUGCAAGACCAGCAAAGCUUGUUAAAGAGUGUGACAUGACUGCUCUUGUGGGCAACUAUUUUGUAUCCUACUUUUGGAGGCAACAUCCGUUGUUUCAAAACCAAAAUUCCUUUGUGCUAUUUUUGGAUAUCCCUUUCUCCACCUUAGUCUGCUGAGGAUGGACGACAUUGCACUUAUAGGUUGACAACUCUAUAAAUUUAUCGAUUAAUUUUUGAAAAAAUGCAUGUUUACCCCUUAAAGUGUUACGAAAAUUUACUUUAGUCAUUAAACUUAACAUGUAAUUAUUUACCCCUCUUAUAAACUUUAAAGUGUAUUAUUUUGCUUUCUUCGUGGCUUAGAGCAAUUGUUGACACUUAAUUUUUGCCCUCUACAGCUAAGUUAAAUCUCAAGUUUCUUCGAUUUUUGAAUAAAAUUACAACAUUUAUUUUAUUCAAAUAAAAAGGUUUUUCAAAGCAUUUAUCUGAGCAAUUUUGUUAUUUUAAGAGAAAAUUAUAUAUUAUUGUAUUCAAUUAUACGAGAUUAUAUAAUUUUGUUACUUAAAUAUUUAUUUUUACAAAAAUAUCAAAUUUUAAUCAAGGCAUAUCUUGAAAAUAAAUUCAAAUGAUUAAAAUCUUGACUUAAAUAUAAUUUAUUCUUGAAAAUAAUUUAUCUGAAUAAAUAUAUGUUUGAUUUUAUCAAAUUAAGAACCCCGGGAUUAAACAAGGUGUUAAUUCAUAUUGAAUUUCGAUUCAAUAUAGUCAAUUUGUUAAAUUUGGGCCUUAAUUGAAAUUAAUUCGACCAUAAUUACAAUGCAAUUGGUCGAUUGAGUUUUAAUUGGGCUAAAGUUUAAAUGCAAUUGUCUAAACUUUUCUUUUUGACUAUUUAUUAAAUAGUCAAAAUAGCCUAACCUAUUCAUACCCUAAUUUAAUUUGGUAAAAUAACCCCCAAUUAAAACCCAAUACAGCAACCCAUUUCUUUUUUAAUUUUAUCACCAGCCCAAUCCACCAAUACUGUUUUGGCCCAAUACCCUUUUUCUUGCCCAUCAGCUAACAACAAAUAAUAAUCCUCAACAUCCCAAUGACUCCUUAACCACCCCAGCCCAACAAAUGGUUUGACCCGGCCCAUUUUUAGCUUCUCCUCAACAAAACAACAACGUACAACUUUCAACAAUCCCAAAUCAAACAAUCAGCUUCAACUGACGACAACAUCACGCGAUUUAGCCGAUCUGAACAACCAGCCACGAAAAACAACCACGAAACUUGGUGCUGACCCAUUUUGUUCGCCAACAACGACGGGUGUACCAAAUCCUACCCCCUUUCUCUUCCUAUCCCCCAAAAGCUUGAAUCUUCUAAAAGAUAGCUUAGGUGGCCACUCCAACAGUUAAAUUCUGAGAAUCUCAAGUUAAUUGGUAUGAUUUCGUACAUAUUUGCCCAAUUUUCAUUGAUUCGUGAGGGAAAUUUCAUCCACUUAUUCUAUUGGUUGGGGAUUUUUUCGAUUUCAUCAGGAAAAUUUAAAAUUUGUACCGAUUGUUGGCUAGAACCCCUAUCCACAGCCCAAAAAUUCAAAUUCCUCUCAUUGGCAAAUCCCAAAAUUGUCCCCAUUUCAUUUUUUCCACAUCGAUUCAGCUUCAAAAUUUGAAUUUCGAGGGUUUCCUCUAUAAAAAGGCUCCUUGUUGAGCUUGAAAAGAAAAAGGGAGAGAAAAAAGAGAAGAAGGGGAGAAAAAUCUGGAGGGUGGGCCAUGAAAAACAACCAGAAAAUCAGUGUUGACCCAUUUUAUUCGCCAACAAUGAUGGGUAUACCAAAUCCCGCCUCUGUCUCUCUCUUCCCAUCCCCAAAACCCUCGAAUUUUCUAGAAGAUAGCUUAGGUGGCCUCUCCAACAGUUAAAUUCUAAGAAUCUCGAGUUAAUUGGUAUGAUUUCGUACAUAUUUUCUUAAUUUUCAUUGGUUCGUGAGGGAAUUUCAUCCUCCUAUUCUAUUGGUUAGGGAAUUUUUGGAUUUCAUCAAGAAAAUCCAAAAUUUGUACCAGUUGUUGGCUAGAAGCCCUAUCUGGAGCCCAAAAAUUUGAUUUCCUCUAACGGUAUUUUCUUGUGUCUUCUUUGAGACGUCUUGUUUUGUGGAGCAUUUAGAUUAUUUUCUAUUUUGUUCAAACAUCAGUAGCAUCAGUUUCUUUUUUAUUAGGUUCUAAUCCUUACUCUUUUCUUUACAUGUACCACUUGCCUCGAGUCCAAAAAAUGAAUUCAAUCUCUAUUCGCAUUUUUUCAUGGGCCAUUAGGGCCCACCAUUUCUGUCAAAUUAACUUCGAGAGUCAAUUGUCUGGCAUAUGGAUACAAGAAGAUGGAAGGAAAAGAAAAUGGGUUGAAACCCAUUGGCAAAGUAGUUAGGAGACUCAAAAGUAUCAUAUUAUUAUUGUUGACUUUUACUUUUAUUUAAUUUGUCCGUUUAUUUAUUUAUUCCUUCAUUUUAUUAUUCAUUCAUAGGCCUCGAAGUCAAAGUUGUAAUUUAAUACAGGUGAGGAGGAUUUUGGGCCUUAAAGGUUCGAAAACUAGCUUAGGACAGGUUAUGGGCCGAGAGCCCAAUAUUUAGAUUAGGACAGGUGUAAGUGGACCAAAAGCCCAUUUAAACUAAGACAGGUUUAGUUGAUUUGGUCCUAAUGGACUAAAUCUUUUACUUUCUCUUCCCUUUCCCCUUUUAUGUGUUUAUUUGAUUAUUAGUUUUGUUUAGACUUAGUUAAAAUCCCUACUAAGUCGCCUAAAUCUAUUUUGCACAAGUCUUUUCUAAAACAAUCGAUCACCUUUCAACAAAUCAAUCUUUUUUUUGAAGUUAGUCAAAAGAUGUUUUCAAACAGUCCGGAUAACCGCAAGUUAGCAGACAUUUUAGGUGCCUAAAACCUUCCUAAAACGUUAAUAGGAACUACUUAUUCAGAAUCUUUAAAUUUAAAUGAUUUUUCUUUUUUGGAUCGUUUAAAGUAUCUUGUAAAGGUUUCUUAAUUCCUUUUCAAAAUUAAGUGGCGACUCUCUAAAAGUCAAAAUUUUUGCAAAACAGCAAGUCAAGCUCCAUUAUUGUAUAAUUACUUGCGAUUUGAUUGGUCCACAUCAUUAAUGAACCUGACCCGCUAUAAUAAUAAAAUGCCCAACUUAUUUUUAAAUAAAAACUGACUUGAUUCGAUCCAACCCUUUUUUCUAUCAAAUACACCAAACCCGUCAUUUCCUUUCUCAUUCCUAACCCGUCAAAUUACAAAUCAUUUCAAAAACGAAAAUAUAAUUCCUACUUCCAACCUAAUCAAUCGUUAGUUUCUUGGAGCUGCUAAGAUUAUCGUGAUUGUUGGUUAGUAAUCCCUUUCUUUUACCUCUGUUUUUCAUCUACAAUUUUAUCCAAUCGUUUUUCAAAGAAUUUCAUGUUUAGAUUUUUUAUUUUGACUAAAGCUCAUAUUUUUUAAUUUUUUUUACAGUUUUAAAAUAACUUUUCUGUAUAUUACCUUGAGAUUUAACCAUGGAAAAAUAUUACAAUUAAAUACAUCAAAGGUAUGAGGACUGAUUGUUUAGACGUAGAUAUUGACAAAUUAUCUUGCUUUGAGUUUGUAGGCUUUGUUAAAAAAAAAUUGGAUACUACUGUUCCUCUUGUGUUGUUUAUAUUAGACCACCCAAGUCUAAUCCUUUGGUAAAGGUUACAUGUGAUAGGGAUAUUUUGUAUAUUAUACCAAAAUUUAAAAAAAGAAAUGUGGUUGAACUGUAUGUGUCACAUUUAAUUAACAAACCUGAUGUGGUCCCUACCCUUGAAUAUGGUAAGCAUGUAAUGAAGAAUCUUUUACUUCUUUUAAUAAAGACCAAGCACAAACCUUUGUGGAUAACUUAGGGUUUGAAGAAGCUAAAGAAAUUGCACAACCUAUUAUUGGUGUUAGUGAAGUUUCUUCAACUGUUGAAUUAGGCAGAUAUUCUUCUACUAUUGAGGAAGAUUUGGGUGGGGGUGGUGCUAGUCUUGAGGAAGAUUUAGGUAGGGAUGGUGCUAGUCUUGAUGAAGAUCUAAGUGGAGGUGGUGCAACUGUUGAGGAAGAUUUGGGUGAGAGUGAUGCUAGUCUUGAGGAAGAUUUGGGUGGAGAUGGUGCUAGUAUUGUAGAAUAUUUGGAUAGAACUUCUGUUGCUACUGCAUCAGAUAUUUCAGUAGUACAUUCUUAUUGGAAAAGUGAGUCAAGAUAGUGAAGAUUCUGAUUAUGAUGAUUUGCUUGAAUGUGAUGAUGAAUAUGAUAGUGAUACUCAUGAGGAAGUUAGAAUUUUGAGAGAAGAAAAGAGAGCUGUCAAACUUAAAAAAAAAAAAAAAAGAAAGAGAGCCUAGAGCUAAAGGGGUUAAUUUAAGAAAAAAAAAGUCAAUGUGCGAUAUAAUGAGUAUUUGUUCAAGAAAAAAAUAUCCUGCAAAAUAAAUUAGGUGGUUAUGAACCAUACUUUGAUUCAGAUAAAAAUGUUAGUUUUGAAAUAAAUAUUGAUGUAGAUGUUGAUGAUGGGGAUGAGGUUCAAACAUUCUAUAAAAAGUAUGAAAAAGACAAGGUGGACAAAAAAAAUUUUAAAAAAAAAUUGUGUUUGAUCCUACUUGUAAGUUAAUUGUUUAAUAAAUUGAUCUAGCUUUUAAAAUUUUAAGCAAUUUAGAAAAAUUGUUACGAAAUAUGCAGUUCAAGAACAUGUAGAGUUACGUUGAACAAGUAUGUAAAUGAACCAACUAGGGUGAGGAUAAAAUGUGGAGAUGAUUAUCCAAGGUUACUGUUUAACAAUCAUGAUUAAAGGACUAGAGAUUUUGUUGUUAAAAAGUAUAAUCGAGUGCAUGUAUGCACUGCCACAAUCAGAAAUAAAUUGAUCAAUUCAAAUUAUUUAGCACACAGGUACAAGAAUAGAAUUAUUUAUGAGCCUGACAUAAGAAUUUUUCAGCUACAAAAUCUAGUGAAAAGGGAUUUAAAGAUAUACGUUGGGAGAACUAUGGUAAGAAAAUCUAGAAAUAUGGUGUUGCAACAGAUAAUGGAUGAUCAUGCGGAGAAAUUUAUAAAAAUUCUUAAUUAUAGAAAUGAACUCUUAAAGACUAAUCCAGGCAACACAUGUGUGGUAAGACUUGAUGAAGAAAUUUUUAAAGGUGAAAGACAAAGGUUUCAAUCCUUCUAUAUAUGUUUUGAUACUUUGAAGAAAACAUUCAAAACUGGAUAUAUGAGAUGUAUUGAAUUUAAUGAUUGUUUCCUUAAAGGUGUUUGUAAAGGACAAUUUUUUGUAGCUGUUUGUAAAGAUGGGAAUAAUCAAAUGCUAUCACUGGCUUGGACAGUGGUUGAAGUUGAAAAUACUUUCACUUGAACAUGAUUUAUUACACUUGUUAGGCAUGAUUUAGAGCUUGGUGAUGAAAUAGGAUUGACAACCAUGACUGAUAUGCAGAAGAUAAUUCGUUCUAUCUUACUCAUUUAUUUUUUAACUACUUUAUGUUUUUUCUAUAUUCUUAUGUCAACUAAUCAUUUUAUAUGUUGCUGAAGGGUCUUAACACUGCAAUUUUACAGUUACUAUCAAAUGCAGAACAAAAAAUAUGUGCAAGACAUAUUUUAGCUAAUUGAUCUAAAGAUUGGAGAGACAUUGAAAGAAGAAAUUGCUUAUGAAAAUAUGUCAAGUCAACAUAUGAGUAAGAGUUGAAAAAAAAUCUAAAUCAUAUGGAGAUGUUAGGUAAUAAAAUUUGUGAAGAACUUCUGUGGUACAAUAUAGAAAGGUGGUCCAAGAUUUAUUUUAGUAUUUUUAGUUGUUGUGAAAGUGUUGAUAAUAACAUGACUGAAAGUUUUAACUCAUGAAUUCUGGGGACAAAAUACAAGACUAUUAUCACAAUGCUUGAGGAAAUAAGGGUCAAAGUAAUGAGAAGAAUAGCGAAGUUGAGCUAGUUCUCUGAAACUUGAAUAACUGACAUUCCUCCAAUGACUUUAGAGGUAUUGGGAUGAGAACACUUCAAAAUCAAUGAAGUGUACCCUUGAAUGAAAUGGUGAAUAUGCUUUUGAGGUUAAGGACAGUUGGGGCAGUACAUUUAUACUGUGGCUGAAUAAUAGAACAUGUAUUUGUAGAUUCUGGAUGCUAAAAUGCAUACCUUGUUGUCAUGCUAUAGCUGCACUUCAUUUUAGAAGAUUGGAACCUAUUAACUAUGUCUCACAUUGGUAUAACAAGGAAACAUACCAGAAAACUUAUAUUUUUUUUAUCAACCUGUUACUGAAAUAAAAAUGUUGCCAUAGUCUGCCAACCUUCCUAUUAUACCAUCAGAAAUUAGAAAAAUGCCAGGCAGGCCCCCUAAAUCAAGAAAGAAAGAGGAAAAUAAAAACAAGAUAGGUAAAUUAUCCAAAACAAGUAUUGAAAUGACCUACAACACUUGUCAUACAAAGGGUCAUAAUAAGAGGAGUUGUCCUUUUGAUGCAAAAACUAUAAUUGAUAAAGGAAAGGGAACAAGUUCAAGUGUUGAUUCUUCUGCAGCUUCAAAUCAGUCUCAACUAAGUACAAAUAAAGAAAGAUGAAAACCAAAAGGAUCUACAAAAUAGGUAAAAUUUAUUUAUAAUUCACCUUAAGUUUUAUUAAAUUUUGAUAUUAUUUUUACUGUUAAGAUAUUGCAGCUGCUAUUAAAUUUUGAUGUCUCUUAUUUUAACUGUUAGGCUAUUGCAGCAGCUGUUGCUUAAGUAGUUGCUGCUGCUACUGCAAAUGUGAUUUGUGGCAUUGAAAAGGAAAAAAAGGACUAGUAAGGGUAGAGGAACUACUGCUCUUGCAUUUAAUAUAGAUAGUAUCAAUGGAAGAAAAAAAGAGAUUGGUAAGGGCAAAGGGGGUACUACUCUUAUAUUUAAUAUAGGUGGUGCCUCUGAAAAGGAAAGAGGUACUUGUAGGGGUAGAGGGACUACUGUUGCUGCUGUAAAUACUGUUGGUGUCAUUGUAAGGAGUAGAGGGAGUGUUGCUACUACAUCAAAUUCUAGUGAUGUCAGUAGAAGGGUAGAAGAGUUGUUGAUUCAGCAUCUAAACUUGGCGGUAUUACUAGUAGGUGUCGAGGGACAAGUUUUAAAAGAUAAAAAAUGAUUAAAAUGGGAGUUCUACAUACACAAAGUGAUUUUAAAAUCCACAAUGCAAGUGCUUGAGUGACUUUACAUUUUACAAUAUUCAAGUUGAUCAUCAAAAGACUAAUCAUUUUUUUAUUCCAGCCUAAAAUACUUCUGAACUCUUCUCUAAAAACUGAAAAUUUUGGACACCAUAAAUCAAGAUCAGGUGUGAAAUGAAAAGGAAAGCCUGUUGUCACUCAGCAAGGAUUUCAAAAAAUGAGAACACAAAAAAGAAUGAAGACAAGUACCAAAGCUACAGAAAUAAAUCAAUUGAGCCAAACAAGUUUUUCAGCUGUCUAGUAUUUGAAGUCUGAUUUGUUCCACUAAAUUGUGUCAUGUAUUUGAUGUUUGAUUAGCUCAAAAAAUUAUGUAGUUGUUCCUGGAUAAAUAAAUUUUUGUAAAACAAUUAUGCAGCUAUGACUGCUUUGUGAUGUUUGAUUUUUUUAAAAUAAUUAUGCAACUGUAACUAUAAUUUUUGAUCUCUUAAUUAUUUAACUGUGACUGCAAUAUUUUGAUAUAUUAUGCAGCUGUGACUGUAGUGUUUAUUUCAAACAAGUAUGCAGUUGUGUCACAUGAAUAUUUCUAGCAAUACAUGCAGCCAAGAUUGCAGAUUUGGGUGUAUAUAAUUUCUAUCAUUGUCAUUCAUUUUUUGUGUCUAUUUCUGUGUACUUGCAAAUAGAAUAACAACAUAACAAAAUUCAAACAAGAUUCUUAUGAACUUGCAAAUAGAAUACACAAACAAAAAAGGAAUUUCAACGAAGAAUUACAUAGAUACUUCAAGGAUGAUUACAAAAGAUCUAAUGAAAGUAAAGGUUAUACGCACCAAAAUUCUAAGGUAACUCUAUUGAAUCUUUCUUUACAUAAAUCAUUCUAAACCAAUAGCUUAUAAAGUUUGAAUCUUUCGAAUCAACGUCCUCUUUGUCCCUGCAACACCAAAAGUCACAAGAUCUUGGACUUCAACAAUUUAAAUAAAGGAUUAGUGUUCAAUUGAAUAUAGCGAGAAAAAAAAAAGAGAAAAAUUUCACAUAUUUACCCCAUAAUAAAGACAUGCGCAAUAUAUUCUGCCGAAAUUAGUUGAAGUCCAAGAUGUCUUCAAACGAACUACAAAAUCAUGAUUGCAACGAACUUCUUGGUUCAAAGAAAAAUCAUUCUCUUCCAUACAAAAUUUAGACAAGUUAACCGAUCUCAUGAUAUGCUACAAAAUAAUUCAGUUCAUAAAUUUCAGACAAAAAAAGGACAAUAAAAUCUACCUAACAAAAGAAGAAGUUUACCUUUUUCAUAGGAAUGGAGAAAUCAGAAAGGAAAACAGAAGAAGAAGGAAAAAUAAGAGAAAAUUAACAAAAAUAAUGAAAUAACGGUCUUGAAUUUUUAAGCAAUUUCAAAUCAAAUUAAGGUCUGAGUUGAUUGAAGAUAAAGGAGAAGAGGAUCUAAGGUUUUGAAAUUGGAAUUAAGAGGUCGGUUUUUAAUGGAAAAGAAAAUGAUUGUUUUUUUUUAAUAAAUUAAUUCGAGUUAAGUUCAGAGCUUAACGCGCCUUGUUUGGCUGUGUUUACACUCAACCAUGAAGGGAGCAAAAUAAUACAUUUUAAAGUUCAUAAUGGGGGUAAAUAAUUACAUGCAUGUUAAGUUUAAUGGCUAAAAUAAGUUUUCGUGACAAUUUUAGGGGGAUAAACAUGUCUUUUCUCUUAAUUUUAUUUAAAUACUCAAAUUAUGAUUUGAUUCAAUUGAUCACCAGAACGCAUAAUAAAGUGUUUAUAUUGAAUUGACACUUCUGACAAAUUUUGUGUGAUUUGACAUAGAUACUUCAGAGACGCAUAAGAAUAAGUAGAAAAAUAAUUUUUCAAAAAUAAAAGUGUCUAAUAGGAAUACUUUAGGUAAAUUCUUACCAUAACAUUUUAUUUUACCUUAUAAUAGUAAAAAUAUUAAUUUAUUGUCCUCUAACACUUGCUAGCCACAUAUGAAUUGCUCCAUGUCAUAUCGAAAAGUUUUUGCUUUUUUUUUUCGUUCUAUAUAUAGCCUUAGUAUUUUUUCUUAAUUUAGUUUAAAGUAAUUUUUAAUGAUUUUAUAUGAUUUCGAAUGAAUAUAUUAUUUUUUUAUUAAAGUCUUUUUCGUAUUUAAUAAAAUUAUCAAUUUAUUAAUUAAUCAAAACAUAUAUUCUUUUAUAAUGUCAAAGUUAUUUUAUAAAAUUAAAUUCAUUGAAGCGAGAUACAUGCGCAGGACGCGAAUCCUAAACUAGUUAACUAAAAUAUUGGAUUCGUAGCUGAUAAGAAAGUUAGAUGCGUUCUUUUUCUAAAUGAGUUGUUACAACUUUAAUCUUAAUUUUACUUGUGUUCUUGAAACUAAAGUAGCAUGAAAUCGAAAAACAAAACUGAAUAAAAAAAAAGGAUAAGAAUAGUCCUUCAGCUAUAUUUUUGAAUCUGCAUCCCCCAAUAAAAAAUGGAGUAGUUCCACUAAUUAAUGAAAAUUAUUAGAGAUGUUGAAAAUUUUUUUGACAAAAAAGAAAAGUAUUUUUUUUUUGAAAAAAAAUCUGAGUAGUUAAAAAUGGAAAAAUGGGACAGUUUAAUCGGAAAAAUGGGACAGUUUGGGUGGCUGCCGUAACACUGUCUCGAUGAAAAUUCUAAAUCUUAUCUUCAAUAUCUAUAUAUCUACAUCUACAAGGAAAGAACGAAUACAAGUCAAUUGCUCAUUUUCAAACAAAAAUUGGCUUUACCAAAAGUUCAAUUAAUUUUCUCAUAAAUUAAUAUUGUAUGUAAUCAUAGUUACAAUAGAAAUAUUAUUUUAACGUUAGAACAAGGUAAAUUACGUGCUAAUUAAAACAAUUUAAUAAUGUUAUUAAAAAAAACAAAAAAAUCUAGAACUAAUUUUGUAAAUAUUGAUCGAUGGUCGCGAUAGAGCGAGAACGAAAUCUAGUAUAUUUAAUCUCAUCAGUUGUUGAACUCUGUAAUUAUUUAUAGAUAAGUAUAUGAGGUAAAAGUGAUUCAUUAAGGAUUGGCCGAUUGAUGAGAAAAAACCGAUUAAGUUGUAAAUUACAAUGGUUCAUUGAACUUUGAAUUGAUAGUUGCAUUAUUGAAUUGUUAAAUUGAAAUUGAAUCUUCUUGAAGGUAAUUAAUGCAUUGGUUGAAAAAUUUUAAAUUGAGGUUUCGAAUAUAAAUUCAAUCUUAAAUUUUGGAGACAAGUCUUAUAAGUUAAAACAUGAACUAAAUUAAAAGAAUAUUUGGACUUUGAAUUUAGGGUUGAACUUUGAACUUAGGAUCUAACUUUGAACUUAAAAUUGAAAAAAGAAAACUCUAAUUUGAAGCCAAUUAUCUGUAAUCUAUCUAUAUCUAUAUAUCUAUAUUCUAUAUAUAAUAUGUAAUAUAUAUAUAUAUAUUAUAUUAUAUAAUAUAUUAAAAGUGUGAAGAUCUUAGAAGAGGGAUUUGAACUUUUUACCCUUCGUUAAAAGACUCUUCUUUUGACAAAACUGUCUUUUCACUAUUUUCUUAAAUUUAUUAUUUAAUUAUUUUUUAUUAUAUUAAUUAAACUUCCUAAAAUAUAUAGAACUCCUAAAAUAUAUGAAAGGAGAAUUAAUUAAUAUUUUCUUUUCUGCUAUUCAAUUAGAAAAAACACUCCUAAAAUAGGACUCUAUUAAAGAAAUACGAAAUUCUAUUAAGGAAAAACAAACACAAUAAACAACAAAUAUCAAAAAUAAGAAAUUACAUGUAUAAGACCACCAACUUAAUCAAAGAGAUCAAAAGUACAUAUUUUAAUGGUUUGAAUAUAUCAUCAAAAUCAUAAUUUCUUAUCCAAUGAGAAAAAAGAAAAAGAAAAACAAAACCCAAAGUAAGGAGUCAAAAUAGAAAAGGGGAAAAAAGCUUUCGUAAAAACACGUGCAUGGCAUGAGGUGUCCACCACCUAAGGGAGACUCUUCCUUUUUCAAAUAUAAAAACAAUAGUAAUAAUUAAAAUUAAAAUAAAGAAAAUCCCUUUAUAUAUUACUUUAUACAUUACGUAAUUAUUAUAUUUUCAUACUUUAUAUUCAGCUCCUAAUUUUUUCUCCCAAAAAAAAGGUUGGUAACCCUGUCGAUUUCUUAGACUUUUUGAUUUCUAUCAUUAGUUAUAUACCAUGUUGUUCUAAUUUCAUGUUUUUUGUUUUUUGUUUUUUAUUUUUCUUAUGUUGUUUGUUUGUUUCCAGAAUAUGAUUGAUACUCAUCUAACUUGAUUCGAUUGCAUGUCCAAAUUGAUGGAUGCUUGAUUUUCUAACCCUCAACUUCUUCAGUGUUUUUGUCAAUAUAAUAGAAUUUAACAUGUGUAUAUAUAUAUCUUCUUUGUUUUCAUUUAUCAUUCUUUAGGGUCAAAAUUUUCGCUCAGACAAGAAUUAGUUUGAUCAAAAUCAAAGCUUUGUGAUCCCAACUAUAUUGUCUAUUGUAGUUUACAAGUCGUAGAUGAAUGUCGGUUGACUUUAAAGAAUUUUUUGUGUAAAGGUUAGAUUUAAUUGUAUUGUUUUGAUAUUUUUAUUAUCUUAUUAUUUUAUUUUAAUUUAUAGAUGGUAGAUGAAUAUCGUUCGGCUUGUAACAGUUAGGUUUAAUUGUAUUAUCUUAAUAUCUCUAUUAGUUUAUUAUUUUGGGGUAGUCUAUUAAUUUAUUAUUUUGGGGUAGUUUGCAAUUCGUAGAUGAAUGUUGAUUGACUUUGAGAAAUUUUUGUGUGUAAAAUUUAAGUUUAAUUAUAUUGUUUAAUAUCCCUUUUAUCGAAUUAUUUUAUUGCAGUUUAGGUGGUAGAUAAAUGUUGGCCGGAUUUGAUGAAUUUUUUUAGCUAAACGUUAGGUUUAAUUGUAUUGUUUUGAUAUCUCUACUUUGAGAUUUUUUUUUUUUAUGUAAAAGUUAGGUUUAGUUGUAUUAUUUUGAUAUAUCUAUUAUCGUAUUAUUUUGUUAUAAUUUACUGAUAGUAGAUGAGUGUCGAAUGACUUUUAGGAAAUUUUUGUGUGUAAUUAUUAGAUUUAAUUGUACUGUUUUGAUGUCUCUAUCAUUGUAUUGUUUUGUUGCAGUUUACAGAUGAUAGAUGAAUGUCAAUCGAUUUUUAAAAAUAUUUUUGGUGAAAGUUAGGUUUAAUAAAUACAUUCCCCAUCUUUACAUACUCAAAAUAUAUUAAAUUUAAUUAUUGUAUUCAUCUUUAUUAUUUAAACAAAUAUCCUAUUUAGUGUAAUGUUUGAACUCAUUAAAGUGAGGUACAUGCACAAGGCGCGUACACCUAAACUAGUUCUUUAAAAAAGUUCUUUCAAAGUGCUUUAAAAAUUGGGGAAAGGACAAAAAUAACACCUAAAACUAAAAUAAUUUCACAAAACUAGCACCUAAAUUUAAAAACCCAGAAAACAACACUCGAUCAUGGUGCCAAUGGAUAAAAAGGUAAGCAGAAAACGUGCAGCUCCACUUCCUAUGAUAUACCAAACAUAAAUAUGAUAUUAUCUUUGACCCAUUUUUUUUUAAAAUGUUCCACACAUACGUCAAUCUUUUUUUCUUUUUAUUGCAUAUACCUAACUAUAUGGAAUUCAACUUUUUCUUUUGCAAAGCAUAAGUAUUGAUUUUGCAUGCUAGUUACUUCUCGUUUUUUCACAUUUUUUUAAAACGCUAGUUUUUUUUUUUCUUUUUAAUUUUGCUGUUGUUUUUAUGUUCUAUUUUUUUAAAAAAAAAAAAUUUGAUGUUUCAUUCUAUUAUAAAAAAAAUCACUGCUCUUUUAUGUUUUUUUUCACUAUUUUUAUACUCCUUUUUUUGUAAUUUUUUUUUUAAAAAUCUAUUUCUUUUUGAAAUUAGCAUAACCACAAUUGUUAACUUUGAAACAUGCAUUAUGUAUAUCUAUGGAAUGAUGACAUUGACUAUCAAAAAAGCCCUGUGAAAGCUUUACUAUAAGAAACUUUAUUUGACCAAAACAAAUACAUAGGAUUUUGAGGAGAAGAUAAUGCAAUUCAAACUCAAAAUGGAGAACCUAACUCCAGCUUUCUUCAACAGUUCAACUGCAAUUCCCCAAAUCCGAAAACCAACCCACAAUAUUAUUGCAAGUCCAAAAGAGGACUAUAAAUAAAACAAGUCAAACAUCAAAAAGAAAAUAAAUAUAAACGUUCUAUACAAUUUUUAACUACAAUUAUUAUUUAGAUACAUAUUUUAUACGACUCUAUAUAGUUUCUACAUUCAUUUUAAAAAUGUAUCAAUCUAGUAUAAGAGAGUAUCAAUUGAGUAUAUGGACAUUGAAAGUGUAUCAAUGUAGUAUAAAAGUGUAUUAAUGUGGUAUAAAAGAGUAUCAAUUGGGUAUAGGGAUUGCAUGUGCUUGCAUAAAAUUUCCUUUCUCUUUUUCUAAAAAGUGUAUUAAUAUAGUAUAAAAAUGUAUCAAUGUGGUAUAAAAGUAUAUCAAUCGAGUAUAGAGACUGCAUGUGCCCAAUUGAGCCAAAUGACCAAAAAAGGGGAUUACUUUAGCCGACUGACUACAACAUAUCCACCUUUUCAAUUAUGGGCCAUUUUGUUUUAGAAUGGUCAUGCCAUGUCCUUUUUCCUUAAAAAUUAAGUAGAAUAAAAGUACAAUUAAAUUUCUAAAAUAAUAAAAAUAUCAAGUAUUUAUAUGAAAGUUACUAAAAAAAAAAAAGACAGGCAGGAAUGAAUUUUUUAUUUCUUAUGUAUAUUCUGUAUAUCAUGAUCCUAUAUAUAUACAAAGGAUUACUUAGAGAGAAAUUUAUCAUAUGUAACAAACUUGGAGAAAAAUCUACCCUAUGCACCAAACUUAAUAAGGAAAAGAAAUAAGAAAAUUAUUAACACUAGUACAAUGUCUAAACUAUUCUUGUACAUUAUUCGAGAAACAAGCCAAUAAAUCCUACAGAAAAAAAGUAACAACUGGACAAUUUUCAACCAACACCUGCUAAUUUUUAACGGAAAAGGCUCAAAAAUACCUCUGAAUUAUCCGAAAUAGCUCAAAAAUUCCCUUCGUUAGAUUUUUGGCUAAAAAAUACCCCUCCGUUAAAUAUUUUGAGCCAAAAAUCUAACUAGGGGUAUUUUUGAGCUAUUUCAGAUAGUUCAGGGGUAUUUUUGAGCCUGUUUCGAAUUUUUAAUAAAGAAAAAAAGAAGACCAACUUAUAAAUUUCUUCUGUAUGCAUUCGUCGUUUACUUCUGGCGACUGAGACACCCAUUUUUAUCUCCUAUUUAUCUUUAUCUUCUCCGGCAACACCCCUUUCUAUUGGGUAGCCGUUGAUCGGACACCCGAAUUGUAAGGCAAAAAAUGAUGAACUGGACUGGAGAGUGCCUUUGCAAACAUAUCAGCAAGUUAAGUUGCAAAAGGUAUGAAAGAGAGGAAAAUGAAACUAUUGAGCAAUUUGUCAUAGACGAUGUGGCAAUCAAGUUCAAUAUGCUUUGUUCGUUCGUGUAAAAUUGGGUUUUUGCCGAUGUAAAUAGCGGAUUGACUGUCACAAUGAAGAGGCACAUGCGAAAUUAGAGAGGCAUAGAGAUCAAGGAGAAGAUGAACAAUCCAAGUAAUUUCUGCAAUUAAUCAUCUCAUUCAGCGAUAUUUAAUCUCAGUAGAAGAAAUUGCUACAACCUGCUGCUUCUUGGAUUUCUAAGAUAUUGAAGACCAAUCCAUAUUGAGAAAAAGCAUACUUACUGAGCGGCGAGAGUCAGAUGCCUAACCAGAGUCGCAAUAAGCUUAUAGUUUAAAAGAUGGAUCAGAUAUAAGAAAAAAGGUUUAACCCAAUGUCCUUGCAAAAAUAUCUGUAAAGCUCCGAGUCUGUACUCAGGGCGCUACACGGUGCUCAUAAUCCCGAAGGACCACAAGCUAACCCAUGACUGGUACCUGCUGCAAUAACUGAAUAAUAACACUGUAAUAUGUGGAAAUUAGGCGGAAACUUGCUAUAGGUUCAAUACUAAAAUAAAACUGAAUACGGUAUAACAAUACCAAAACUGAAACAUCUGUCUGAAAAUACUCGUCUGGAAAGCCUCUAAACUGUCUGAAAUAAGAAGUUGAUGGGACAAGUCCCUAACUAACUCUGGUUACUGAAAUAAACUGAGAUGCUGAAAUAAUAAUCAUGUCCUCAACUAUGAGGACUCACUAUUAACUCUGACUGCUGAAAAUCUGUAACUGCUAGGGAUGAUUGGAAGUCCAUGCGUCUGAACCUAUGAUAUAAAACAUUAUAACGCAAGAGAAAAGUAUGCGUCAGUACUUUGAAUGUACUAGUAUGCUAAGUGAGGUAGGCUGAAAUGCAUGGGUUCAUAUGCAUGAACAAUACUGACUGAAUGACAUGAAUAUAACUGAAUGAGAGUACAUGCAUGAAUACGUAAAUUGUAACUGAGAUCAUGAUAACACUGAAUACUGAGUCUGAAUACUAAUUGACUAAUAUCUGAGUAUACUAAUACUGAAUGACUGUAUCUAAUAGUCUUGAUUUGAUAGAACUAUACUGAGUUCCAUACUGAGCUGAGUGACUGUGUUUGACAGUCCUGAAUCUAUAGAAUUGAACUAAGUUCUAUUCUGAGACUAGAAUUGAAACUAAGACUAUGGGAGGUAAUCAUCUAACCGAUAUGCCCCUUUCUAAAUAGAUUGGGGUCCAACCUGUAACCCAGUUGGAAGGGUUUCAAUACCGUGCCACGGCUAAAGAAAAGCUGUGAGUUAACCCUCUCUGACAGGAAGCUCUUUUGUCAACCUUCGCUAGCAGAAAAACUUGAAUGAGAUGUAUCAACCCUCAUAAUAUCUGGCAGAAAGAUAUCUCAACCUACGCUGGCUACGUAGUUCUAUAACGCAGGGAUUUCUACUAAGGGUCAAACCCUCUUCUGGUAGGAAUGCCCCCAUCUUUGGAUUGACUCGAUGCUGAAUCCUACUCCCAUCUGAAUAGACACUAAACUGAUUUGCCUAGUUCAUACUGGGAUUGACUGAACUGUUACUGAGUUUACUGAGUUCCGUUGACUGACAGAAUACUACUGAAUUCUGUUAGCUGACUGAGUUUACUAAAAUCUGAACUGAAUACUGAACUAGAAUGGACUGAUACCGACUCUACUGAGUUUUUCUCGAGUUUUGUAACUGACUGAGUGUACUACUGAUCGUGACAUGACUGAUACUAUCCUGAGACUGACAUGGCUCUAGGUAAUUAGUUAAAUUAUCGGGUAUUAAAUAUCCUAGGACUCUAUAGCAUAAAUUGUAAGACAUGGCACAAUCUUGAAACAUGAUAAAUAAUCUACUUGAUCAUCAUUCAUUCAUUGGGACAUUCUAGCAAACACUUGCAUGACAUGAGCUUGAAUAUAUGCUAACAUGACAUAAUUCUAUUAUUUAAUUAUCAUGAACAACUCAUUAAACACUUGGAAAGCAUUUUAUAUGCACAUAGUACUAAUCAACACAUGAACAUCAUAAUUUCAAGGCUUUAACAUGAAUUCACAUGAUACUACAUACAUAAUAGUUGUUUUGACAUAAGUCUUUCACUUAAUCAUGGAAUAGAAAUCUAAUCAACAUUAUAAUCAUGAAUACACUUGAAUCCAAAUCAUGGGAAGCAUGAAAUCAAGCUACUUGAAGUUUAAAAGAGUUUCUUAGACUCCAAGGGUGGAAGGGACCCUUGGAUGAACACUUGACAUACCUUGAUUGCUAAAUUCCUGAAGAUUAAUGGUGGAAUCUUGAGCCUUGAAUUUGAAAUUCAAUCACCUAGGGUUUAUGUUCUUGAACAAUUUGUGAAAUACUGAGUGUAUGUUGCAAAUAGAAGGCUAAAUUUUGUAUUUUUGGGGACUGAAGGACGUGGGAAAAAGACCCAAAUACCCCUAAGGAUGAGGCUUUUAAUGACUGAAAAAUUGAAUUGUUGAUGCGCAGACCGAUGCACCGCAUCGUUGGCAUCAAUAGAUGGCCGACGUACUGCGUCGAGUCCACAUUGAUUCACUGGAAUUUACACUGAGUUGAGGGAAAAAUUAUCUGUCGAUGCGAUGGACGACGCGACGCGUCGAAAUCGCGUAGACUUGUUGUUUUAGUCACUUGAACAUUGUCUAAGCGAGGUCUGAAAAAUUCAAAACUUGUCCGAGAAUACCUACUGACAUUCCUGAUCAUGAAUUAAUUUAAAAAUCGAUAUUUACAGUAAUAGGAGUCGUGAAAUAGAGUUGCCAAGUUACGAAGGCCAAAAUAAUAUUAAGUCUGAAUACUUAGCUAGAAAUUUCUAAGUUUGGGACCCCCUUAGCAAGCCUAAAAGAUUAAGUUGAGCUUAGGAUUUUGUGGGGUCUUACAAUAUCUCCCCCUUGGGAAUAUUCAUCCUCGAAUGAGACUGAUUAGACCGAGAAUACUAAUAGAUUGGAUUUAGACACUGGACAUGCACCAUUGAAGCAUGAUUUUAUGACUGAAAUUACUGAUAUACUGAGUUAUCAUACUGAACAUGCAUAUCUGAUGCAUGAGUGUAUAGCUGAACAUGAUUCAUGAAUGCAUGACUGGAUUCUUGAUAAACUAAGCUUAUAUACUGGACACACAUGUCUGAUGCAUGAGUACAUGACUAAACUGAUUCGUGAAUUCAUGACUGAGUGUGCAACGUUAAUUGAUACCAAGUUGGUAGCUAUUUCUGAACAUAAGACUGGUAAACUCAAAGGAAAAUUGUUACCUUGGACUGAGUCUGAGCUUGUGGAGAAGAGGUAAGGAUACUUGGUCCGCAUGUCUGCUUCUACCAAGGAACUUUGACUAGAGGGACUUCUUUGUUCCUCAGUCUGCGAAACUAAUAAUCAAGGAUUUCGAAUGGGAUCUCUUCAUAAGAGAGGCUGUUCUGAAUAUCUAUGCCCUCUAUAGGGACUACGACUAUUGGGUCACCUAUGCAUUUCUUUAGCAAGGAUACAUGGAAUACUGGAUGCACUGAAGCUAAGUCUGAAGGCAACUCAAACUCGUAAGCUACCUUUCUGAAACGGCUGAGAAUUCGAUAAGGACCGAUAUAUCAGGGACUGAGUUUCCUCUUCUUGCCAAACCUCUUCACUUCUUUCAUAGGAGAGAUUUUCAAAUACAUAAAAUCACCAAUCUCGAACUCGAUAUCCUUUCUGCGUACAUCCGCAUAUGAUUUCUGUCGGCUUUGAGCUGUCUUAAUCCUUUCCCUGAUCAACUGAACUUUCUUUGAGGUAUCGAAUACCAAUUCAGGCCCUACCACUGCGGCCUCACCCACUUCAAACCAACUAAUAGGAGAUUUACACCUCCUUCCAUAAAGUGCCUCAAAUAGAGCCAUCUGAAUACUGGAAUGAUAGCUGUUGUUGUAUGCGAAUUCAAUCAAAGGCAAGUAGUCAUCCCAACUACCUUUAAAGUCUAUCGCACACGCUCGCAACAUAUCUUCUAAAGUCUAAAUGGUCCUUUCUGCUUGACCAUCUAUCUAAGGAUAAAAGGCUGUACUGAGGUAAACUCGGGUACCAAGACCCUUUUGGAAUGCCUUCCAGAAAUGAGAGGUGAACAGGGUACCUUUAUUGUAAUACCACAUAUUUUUCCUAGCUUAAAUUAGUCCCUAGAAUGUCAAAAAUUUGCUUCAAAGAUGAAUACCAUUUAUUUCGUGUGGUAUUUGUAAGAUUUUUUACUUUUUAUUUUGUGGGAAAUUAAAUAAGCUUUCCAUCGAUAUCAAAUUCGCCUAAAUCCUACACUCAGUGAAGGAGUUAUGACAUUUCUAAGUUGACAGUUUAUCACCUGGACUCUCAGCACGUUGUGGAGAUAAGAAAAAUGGAAAUCGUCAAUUCCAGUGGACUUUCGUGAUAUUGGCGCAUCGUAGAGUGGUCCAUUUUCCCAAUUGUCCUAUUCUAGUAAGACUCCGCAAUUCUGGUGCAUCGCGCCAAUGUCCAAAAUGACAAAACUUCAGGGCAUCGCGAUGGUGGUGCGUUCGGAGAAAGCCAAGUUCCCAUUCGUUAGUUUCCAGUGAGCCACCACGAUAGUGGCGCAUCGUGGUGGUCCAUAAAAUCGGGAUCCUAGUUCAUUUUUUUCAGUUUUGUUUAGAAGUUAAAAGGGGUAUUUUGGACUUUUUCCAGCCCCCAAUUCCAUCCAAACAUGAGAUUAAAGGUUAUUACAAGCAUCUUAUGAUAUAUUUCUCAAAAUCUCUCUCAACCAAAAUCCUAAGCUUUAUCAUUCAACCUCAAGAAUCCCAAGAUUUCACCAUCCUUUUUCAAAAUUAAUUCAAGAUUCAAGAUUUCCUACUCAAGAAUUGGAAGAAUCAUCAUUCAAGAGCACAAAUAGGAUCUCAAAAGUAAGCUUGUUCUUCUAGUUCAUCAUCCAAGGUAUGUGGGGGUUUUGAACAAGGAUAAAUCUUUCAUCCUUGUGUCAAAAAACUUACCUUAAAUUAUAAAUUGCUGAGUUUUGUAUGUCUAAGUACUGCUUGAACACUCAGUUCAUCAAGUCUAUGAAGGAUGCUGGGGCAUUUGUAAGACCAAAGGAAUGACUAAAAAUUUGAAGUGACCAUACUGAGUUCGGAAAGCUAUUUCUGGAAUGUCACAUUCUUUGACUUUAAGCUGAUGAUAGCCUGAUCUAAGGUAUAUCUUGGAAAAGUAAAUGGCACCUUAAAGUUGGUCAAACAAGUCAUCAAUUCUAGGAAGUGGGUAUUUAUUCUUGUCUGUGACCUAGUUCAAAUGAUGGUAGUCAAUAUACAUUCCGAGAGAACCAUUUUUCUUACGCACGAAUAGAAAAGGUGUGCCCCACGGGGAGACGCUGGGUCUUAUGAAUUUAUUAUCUAAGAGAUCCUUCAACUAUUCUUUUAGUUCUUUGAGUUUAGCUGGAGCUAUUCCGUAUGACGAAAUAGAUAUAGGCUGAGUAUCUGGGAGAAUGCCUAUUCUGAAGUCGAUUUCCCUUUCGAAAGGAACUCCGGGAAGCUCUUCGAGAAAAAUAUCUGAGAAUUCAUUUACUACUGGGACUGACUCAAGAGUAAGGGUAUAUGAGUUCGAGUCUUUGACUCACACAAGAUGGUAGACACACCUCUUGGAUAUCAUCUUUUUAGCUCUAAGGUAUGAAAUCAACUGACUCCUAAGUGUUGUAGUACUACCCCUCCAUUCAAGGACUGGUUUAUUUGGAAAUUGAAAAUGAACUAUUCUAUUUCUACAAUCAACUAAGGCAUAGCAUGAGUGGAGCCAAUCCAUGCCGAGAAUGACGUCAAAAUCCAUCAUCUCUAACUCUACGAGAUCAACUGGAGUAACUUUUUGAGCUAUUGUGACCGGACAGUUCCUGUAUACCUGUUUUUAUACAAUAGAAACACCCACUAGGGUAGACACUGAAAAGGGCUCUGCUAGAGUUUCAAGACUGACUCUAAAAUUGACAGCUAUAUAUGGAGUUACAAAAGAAAAAGAAGCUCCAGGGUCUAAUAAAGCAUAAAUAUGUAUGUGAAAGACCUGCAACAUACCAGUAACUAAGUCAGGAGAAUUUUCUUGAUCUUGGUGGGACUGAAGAGCAUAUAAUCUGUUCGGACACUGACCACUGGUAGCACUAGAAGCGACACCCUACUGAUUUGGGCGACCAGAUGGAACAGAUGACUGAUGGGACUGGCCCUGUUGGCGUGGAUCCCUACCUUUCUGGGCAACUACUCGACACUCUCAAAUUCGAUGGCCUGGCUUGCCAUACCCGAAUCACACAUCACUAACUUCCCUAUACUCACCCUGAUGGUGUUUGCCAUACUUCUGACAUAUAAGAUUAGUACGAGCACUGCUAACACUAACCUAGGACUUAGAGCCUGGUGCCCUAUCCCUAUUAUCAUUUCUGAAUUUGGGUACUGGGGCACUAGCUGAAGAAGGUACUGGGGCUGAAGACCUCUGAUGAAACUGAGAACGGUUACCACCUUCUAACUUUGGCUGACUAAAGCUAAAAUUACCCGUUCUAGCUCUCUUGUUUCAUCUCUUCCUCUCUUUAAACUUCUUCUCCUUUAUCUAUUGAGCAUGGAUCAUCAACCUAGACAAGUCUAUCUCACUAAUCAGCAUUGUAGUCCUACACUCCUUGACCACACUAUCAAACACGCUAGACACAAACUUACUCAUCUUGGACCUAUUGUCAGCUACCACAUGAGGAGCAUACGUAGAUAUCUGAGUGAACUUGAGAGAUACUCCCUUACACUCAUGCUUCCUUGCCUCAAGUUAAUAAACUCUUCCCAUUCUAUAGGUUCUGCAUCAACACCUCUAUCAACUCUCUACUACUUAAACCAAGUAUAGGCUAUAUCCUGCAAUUGAUAUGCAGCCAACUCAACACCCUAACUAGAUGUUAAUCCUAGAGCAUCCGUUACCUUCUAAACCAUAUCUAAGAAUUCCUGUUGAUUUUCUUCAAACUUGGACCCUGUAAAAGAAGGAGGAUUCAUCUAGGUGAAAUCCCAAAUUCUACUUGUAGUAGUAUUAGCCACUGGAUUAGCCAUAACAGUAGCUAUCCAUUCAUUCUAUGCUGCUAAGAAGUUCGCUAGAGUAGUGAACGCAGUCAUAAAUUCUGCGUGAGAGACAUGCUCGUCUAAAGGAUCUACAUGGACGGGCUGAGGGGAUGGCUCAUUUCCUAUUUUUCUUUCAUUUUUCUUGGGAUGCACAUUCUGUAAAUGGAAAGAGGAAACGGAUUAGACUGAUAGUUUAACUUGAGCUUAUGCUCACUCGCACGAUAUGAAUACUGAAAGAAGGGACACUUUUCCUAAACGCCUUGUAGCCUCUCAUCCAUAAGUGUGGCGCACUAUACACCCAUGCACAAGACUCUACUCCAUGCGGCUUUCAGACUUCCUAGGUCACUUUAAAACCAUAGGCUCUGAUACCAAGUUUGUAAUGACCCAAGACUACCCGCUAGUUAUUACACGGUGCUUACGGUCUCGAGGGACCACAAGCUAACCCAUGAGCUGGUACCUGCUGUGAGCACUGAAUAAUAACAUCAUAAAUAUAGAAAAAUACUGACAUUGACUUAAGGUUUAUCAACUGGAUUCAAUACUUAAAUAUAAAUCUAGGAAAGACAACUGUCUGAAUCUGAGAAAAUACUGAUAAACUAAAUAACUAACUGACUGUAGUGUUCGAAAAGCCUCUAAGACUGACUGACUGAGAGUUGAUGGGACAGGCCCCCAACUAACUCUACUAACUCCUGAAAUAAAGACAUGAAAUGAUAAGAUCUGUCCUUAAAUAAUGAAUACUCACUACUGCUACUAUACUAGCUGGGAAUCUGGAAAUCUAGGUGCGAUCCAGGAACUAAGUGUUAGCACCUAUGAUAUGAGACAUCAUAACGCAAAAUAAAAGUAUGCGAUUAGUACUUUGAAUGUACUGAUAUGCUAAAUGAGGUAGGCUAACAUGCAAGGUUUCAUGAAUAGGAGUAAUGAUCUAUCUGAGUAUACAUGUAAGGCAUGGGAUACUAAAUAGAGAAUAUGAAAUCUAUAGAUACUAAACAUGCAUGAAAGUCUGUAAAAUACUAAAAAUGUAUGAAAAUCUAUAGACACUGAAGAUGCAUGACCAAACAUAUGACAUGAACUGAAUAACAUUUGUAAUCACUUAAAUACUGAAAUAAUUGAAAUCUGUAUGCUUUGGUCAAACAAUACUGAGACUGAAUAACUGAAUUGGAACUAGAACUGAGACUAUAUCUGAGAAUGUGAGAGGUAUCAUCUAACCGACAUUCCCUGAUCUGAGCUAAUUGAGGACCAACCUGUAACCCUAGUUAGAAGAGUGUUAAUACCGUACCACAGGUACUAACGCUAGGGUUUCUUGUUCUUGAGAAAAGGGAUCUUUAAUUUUUGAAGAACAAUUGAAUAAUGAUGACUACUUAGGGUGUUUAGGGGUUAAAUUUCCUCUUUUAGGUUAAUUAGGGCCGUGGAAAAGAAUCAAAUACCCUUAAACAAAUUUAAAAAUAGAAGCUAAAAACUGACCAUCCCGAUUUUUGGCCUUGGCGCGAUGCACCACUAUCGCGCCAAGCCACUGGAAAAGGGACAACUGGGAGCUGAGGGCAUGGCAUAACCCGGAGGAAUCACAGUGCCCUUUUGAUUCUAAAAUUAACCCUUAGUGCGAUGUGCCAUUAUCACGAUAGGACAUUGGAAAAAAACAAUUGGGAUUUUGGCCGACGGCGCGACGCGGUGGUUUCUUGGUGCUUCACUGGAAAUUGACAAAUGGGAUAUUGUCCUGCUCCACGAUGCGCCAUGAUCAUGGAGUCAUACUAAAAAUAAACAAUUAUCAUUUGGGCUGCCUACGUGACGCGCUAAGGGGUAAAAUGAUGGUGCUUUACGACUAAAACUUUAAAUCUCCAUAACUUCUUACCCGGUUAGUGGAUUUAGGCAAAUUUUAUAUCAUUGGAAAGAUAACUGAAUUUCCUAUGCAAUGGUAGGCUAUAAACUGCAAAAUAAUAAGUGUUUAAAAUAUUUUAUAUAUAAAUACUCAUGUAUAGGGACUUAGAUUACGCUAGGAAAAUGCGGGGUGUUAUAAGACCUUAAACUAUGUUAAGUUCCAGUACUCAUGCAAAACUCUUAAUGAUCAGUGAAAUUCAGAUUUAUAUCAUAUACGUCCUCAGAUUUGAUCUCUUUAAUGAACCCAUGUCGUGAAUACUCUAUUUCUCAGGCCUCAAUAAGGUGUCAAGUUAUACAUAGUAUCCCUUUACAUUUCAGGUCUCAUGUUCCAGCCUUUUAGUGACUCCUCCUUAUGUAAGGAUAGUAGUGAUGAGUAAAUGUUUCUUGUUGAUAAAAGGUGGUUGUAUGCUUAUCCAAGCUAAGAUAGUUAAUGUGAAGUAAGAUUGAAGCCAAGUCUUUGAUACAUGUCAUGGUUAGAUGAAAUUAUAUGUGUUAUGUCUGGAAAGAUUUUUGUAAGCUGGUUUUAUGUAAGUCUAUAAGUUAGGAUGAAUUUUUAAGGUGAAGUUCAUUUUCAUGUGUAUGACUCGGUUAGUUGAGAAUAUUUCAUGUGUAUCAUUCUAACAAUUUAAUGGUGCAUAAAGGUUGUUAUUGAUAGAGGUAUUAGAGAUUAUGAGAGAGAUGCUCUUAUGGGUAUUUGUUUAGAAGUGCAUACGUGGAUAUAAAAAUAGGCUUGAAUUUUAUGUUGAUGUAUAAGAGGAUAGGCGAGUAGUGCAUUAAUGAAUUUCCUAGUAAGAGGUUGAAUUUGUUAUAGAAGUGAUAAGAAGAAUUAUCUUAGAGAUGAGUAGUUACAACAAUGCUUGGGGUAUUUAAUCCAUGGUUCAGACUAGUAUUAUGGAGUUAUCAAUGCCAUGUGAGGAUUAUAAGUUGAAUCAAGUGAUUAUAAUAUUUAAGGGAAUAGUAUAGUUGAGGGAGUGUUUCACAAGUGUUGCUAAGCUUGAAAAUAAGAAGUUGCAUUGGUUAAGGCCUAGCAAAUCAAUUCUAUCCCAGUGUAUGGUUUAUGGGUCUAUGUUCCAUGCUAUAGAAUGGUAGCACUGUUGUAAUCUCUUAUUUAGAGGUUUUGUUCAGAUCAUGCCCGGAGUCCUUUACUCCCUAAUAUCGUUAGAACUUUAUAGAAGAGUGUUGAAGAAAUACUCCAUCUGAGUAUGAGCAUUCAGUAUGAUUCAGUCAGUGUAGCUAGAAAUCCAGUCUAAUAGUUAGACAGACGAAUCUCUAUAGUUUUUUCAUCUUUCAAUUUAGUUCAGUCUCACUACCUGAAAUUUCGUGAGUAUGGACAUUUCAAGUGGUAAUUUGUUCGUAUCUAUGUAAAUUACAGAUCCAUCUUAGUAUAUACAUCAGGCAUCAAUUUUUGAUUUAGAUAUUAAGCCAAAGCCACGAUUCCGUUCAUAAGUAUCCUGCGUAUCAUCUCAGUCUUCUCCAAGCAUUUCAACCAAAUCCGUAUCAUUUAUGUAAGUCUAUAAGUUAGAAUGAAUUUUUAAGGUGAAGUUCAUUUUCAUGUGUAUGACUCGGUUAGUUGAGAAUAUUUCAUGUGUAUCAUUCUAACAAUUGAAUGGUGCAUAAAGGUUGUUAUUGAUAGAGGUAUUAGAGAAUAUGAGAGAGAUACUCUUAUGGGUAUUUGUUUAGAAGUGCAUCUGUGGAUAUGAAAAUAGGCUUGAAUUUUAUGUUGGUGUAUAAGAGGAUAGACGAGUAGUGUAUUAAUGAAUUUCCUAGUAAGAGGUUGAAUUUGUUAUAGAAGUGAUAAGAAGAAUUAUCUUAGAGAUGAGUAGUUACAACAAUGCUUGGGGUAUUUAAUCCAUGGUUCAGACUAGUAUUAUGGAGUUAUCAAUGCCAUGUGAGGAUUAUAAGUUGCAUCAAGUGAUUAUAAUAUUUAAGGGAAUAGUAUAGUUGAGGGAGUGUUUCACAAGUGUUGCUAAGCUUGAAAAUACGAAGUCGCAUUGCUUAAGGCCUAGCAAAUCAAUUCUAUCCCAGUGUAUGGUUUAUGGGUCUAUGUUCCAUGCUAUAGAAUGGUAGCACUGUUGUAAUCUCUUAUUUAGAGGUUUUGUUCAGAUUAUGCCCGGAGUCCUUUACUCCCUAAUAUCGUUAGAACUUUAUAGAAGAGUGCUGAAGAAAUACUCCAUCCGAGUAUGAGCAUUCAGUAUGAUUCAGUCAGUGUAGCCAGAAAUCUAGUCUAAUAGUCAGACAGACGAAUCUCUAUAGUUUUUCCAUCUUUCAAUUUAGUUCAGUCUCACUACCUGAAAUUUCGUGAGUAUGGACAUUUCAAGUGGUAAUUUGUUCUUAUCUAUGUAAAUUGUAGAUCCAUCUUAGUAUAUGCAUCAGGCAUCCGUUUUUGAUUCAGUUAUUAAGCCAAAGCCACAAUUCAGUUCAUAAGUAUCCUGCGUAUCAUCUCUGUCUUCUCCUAGCAUUUCAACCAAAUCCUUAUCAUUUGGAGACGAACGAUCCCAAAUGGGAGAUAUUGUAAUGCCCCAAGUUUUCAUAAAGUUUUCAUAUCAUAAAUCUCUCAUUCUUUUCUCAUGAAAUCAGAUCUAGCCUAAGGUAAUGGUUAGUUAUAAGUUGACGCUCUUGUUUCUAUCUCAGCCAUAUGACUAUUCUUAUGAAAGUUCAUGCACUCACAGGUCAGUUCAGUAUCCCACUACGCUGGGAUUCAUUCAUACAAUUUAUUUAAGUUGAGUAUGAUAUCUUAUAGCCUCAGAUUCCUUAGUAAUUUCAGCCUAAUUAGCCAUAUUCGAGGAUGAAUAUUCCCAAGCGGGAGAUAUUGUAAUACCCCAUAUUUUUUCUAAAUUAAAUUCAUCCCUAGAAUGUUAAGAAUUUUCUUUAAAGAUGAAUACCAUUUAUUUCGUGAGGUAUUUUCAAGAUUUCAACUUUUUAUUAUUUAAAAAAUUAAAUAAGCUUUCCAUCGAUACCAAAUUUACCUAAAUCCGACACUCAGUGAAGGAUUAUGACAUUUCUAAGUUGACGGUUUGUCACCUGGACUCUAAGCGUGUCGUGGAGCUAAGCAAAAUGGAAAUCGUCAAUUCCAGUGGACCUUCACGAUAUUGGCGCAUUGGGAAGUGGUCCAUUUUCCCAAUUGUCCCAUUCCAGUGCGACUCUGCGAUUCUGGCACGUUGUGGCAAUGUCCAAAAUGACAAAACUUUAGGGCAUCACGAUGGUGGAGCAUCGCGGAGAAAGUCCAGUUCCCAUUCGUCAGUUUCCAGUGAUCCACCGCGAUAGUGACGCAUCGCAGUGGCCCAUAAAAUCGGGGCCAUAGUUCAUUUUUUUCAGUUUUGUUUAGAAGUUAAAAAGGGGUAUUUUGGACUUUUUCCUAGCCCCUAAUUCCGUCUAAACAUGAGAUUAAAGGUUAUUAAAAGCAUCUUAUGAUAUAUUUCUCAAAAUCUCUCUCAACCAAAACCCUAAGCUUCAUCAUUCAACCUCAAGAAUCCCAAGAUUUCACCAUCCUUUUUUCAAAUUAAUUCAAGAUACCCUACUCAAGAAUUCCAAGAAUCAUAAUUCAAGAGCACAAAUAGGAUAUCAAAAGCAAGCUUGUUCAUCUAGUUCAUCAUCCAAGGUAUGUGGUGUUUUGAACAAGGAUAAAUCUUUAAUCCUUGUGCCCAAAAUCUUACCUUAAAUUACAAAUUGCUGAGUUUUGUAUGAUUUCUCAUGAAAUUUAAAUUAGGGUUUAUACCCAACAUUGCUAAUUGCAUGACUUUAAGAUUUUAAGUAAUUUGGAUAUUGAAUUACAUGUCUACCUUUGAAAAUUAAUGCGUAUGAUCAUAUUUUCCAGAUUUUAAGCUGAAUUAUGAAUAUUUGUAUUAUCAAGCAUGAACCUUAUGGUGUUUGACAUGAAAUUGAAGCAUGGGUCAUUAUGCCAUAGUUUGUAUGUUGACAUUUCUAGAAUGACUAUGUUUUAAGUAUCCCAUGAUUAGCUAUUUUCAGAUUUUGAUAAAUAAAGUUGAUCUAUUGAUCCAAGCAAAGAUAGGAAUCCAUAUUAUUCAUACAGUUUAUGAUUUAAAGCAAAGAGAAGUAUAAUUGUCUUUCUUUAUAAAACCCUUGUGCUGUUUUAAGGUGGAUUUCCUAAAAGUUUUGGGCAAUAAGUAUGAGAGUAGUAUUUAGCACCGAGUUGGGUAUGAUUCCAAGGUCUUAUGCCCCAGAACUAUGUACCACCGUAGGUUUCUGAUUUUCCCAGUGGGUUAAGAUAGUGAUCACUUAAGUUAAGGUUCUAUUCCGAUGGUAAGGGUAUAGCUCUCCCCAACAUGGGUAAGACGUUGGACUCCAUGUCAACUCACAUAGUUUAUGUCGGUUAGAAGAAACUCCCCAAGUCAAACAAGUCAUUGAUUCUGGGAAGUGGAUACUUGUUCUUGAUCGUGACUUUAUUUAGCUGAGGGUAAACAAUACACAUUCUGAGAGAACCGUCUUUCUUACGCACGAAUAAAACUGGGGCUCCCCAUGAGGACACACUGGGUCUGAUAAACCCCUUAUCUAGGAGAUUCUUUAACUAUUUUUUUAAUUCUCUGAGUUCUGCAGGUGCCCUUCUGUAUGGCGGAAUAGAUAUGGGUUUAGUAUUUGGAAGAAGGUCUAUUCCGAAGUCGAUUUCCCUUUUAGGAGGAACUCCGAGGAGAUCUUCGGGAAACACAUAUGGGAAUUCACAUGCUACAGACACUGAUUCAAUAGUAGGGAUUUAUGAACUAGAGUCCUGGAUUCAAAUGAGAUGAUAGACGCAUCCUUAGAUAUCAUUUUUCUUGCCCGAAGGUAAGAAAUAAGCUGACCCCUAAGUGAUGAAGUACUCCCCUCCACUCAAGGACGAGUUCAUUCAGAAACUAGAACUGGACGAUUUUGUUUCUGCAAUCGUCCAAGGCAUAAGAGGAAUGAAGCCAAUUCAUACCAAGAAUGACAUCAAAAUCAGUUAUCUCUAAUUUGACUAAGUCUGCUGAAGUGACUUUCUGAGAUACCAUAACCGGACAGUUCCUAUAUACCCGCAGUUCCUACUAGGAUUUCGAGACUGACUUCGAAGUUAACAUCUAUAUAAGGAGUAACAAAGAACAAACAAACUCCUGGAUUUAGCAAAACAUAUAUAUAUAAAUGAUAAAACUUGUAACGUACCAGUGACCACAUCAGGAGAACUCUCCUGAUCCUAUCGGAACUGAAGUGCGUAGAGUCUGUUUGGGUGCUGCCCACUGGUGGCACUGGAUGUGGCACCCUGCUAAUUCGGGUGACCAGACUGAGCUGGGGGACAAUUUUACUAACUCUGAGAACCCACUUAAGGAUACUGUCUGACCCUGUGGACUGGAUUACCACAUCUGAAACACACAUCACUUCCAGCUCUGCAGAUACCUUAAUGGUUUCUACCAUACUUUUGAUAAAGGGGAUUAGUUCGAGCACUGCUAAUACUACCCUGGGGUUUAGGGACUGAUGCCCUAUCUCUAUUUCUAUCUCUGAAUUUCGGCACAGGAGCACUGGCUGAGGACAGAGCUGGAACUGAGGAUUUUGAGCAGAACUGAGAAUAAUUCCCACCCUCUGACUUAGGCUGAGUGAAGUUGAAACUAACUGUUCUCACUCUCUUAUUCUCUCUCUCCUUCUCUUUAUUCUUAGCCUCCUCUAUCUGAUGAGCAUGGACCAUGAUCCUGGAUAUGUCCACUACCUUAAUUAACAUUGCGGUCCUCAACUUUUUGACCACACUAUUAGACAUGCUGGACACAAACUUACUCAUCUUAGAUCUACUAUCUGCUACCACAUGAGGGGCAUAUCUGGCUAAUUUAGUAAACUUAAGAGAAUACUCUUGUACCAUCAUGUUUCCCUGAUUUACAUUUAUAAACUCCAAAAUCUUCGCUUCCCUCAACUCCAACGGGAAAAACCUAUCCAGAAAAGCAACAGCAAAAUCCUCCCAUUCUAUGGGCCCUGCAUCUGCGGUUCUUUUUGCUUUCCACUGUUUAAACCAUGAGUGUUACACAUCCUGCAACUGAUAUGCGGCCAACUCAGUUCUCUCAACAACAGCCACUCCCAUAAUAUCUGUAAUGUUUUGCACCUGAUCAAGAAACUCCUGAUGGUCCUCAUCUAAUUUAGACCCAGUAAAAGAUGGAGGGUUCAUUCGGGUGAAAUCCCGAAUCCUGGCUGCAGCAGUAUUGGCCACUGGGUUGUUCGGAACAAUAGUUGAACAUUUAUUCUGGACUACCAAAGAAUGAGUUAGGGUGGUGAAAGUUGCUCUGAAUUCAGCAUGGGAUACGUGUUCGUCCAGAGGAUCUGGAUGGACAGGCUGGGGUUCUAACUGGUCUCCCAUUUCUCUUCCCUUAGUCCUCUUUGGAGGCAUAUUCUGCAAAUGAAAGAGAAAUUUGGAUUAGACAGGGAGUUUAACUAGAGCUCAUUCUUACUCGCACGAUAUGAGUACCGAAAGAAGGGAAACUUUUCCUAAAACACCUUACAGCCUCUUGUCCAUAAGUGUGGCGCGCUACACACCUAUGCACAAGACUCUACUAGAUGCGACUUUCAGGAUUCCUAGGACUCUGUUGAACCUUAAGCUCUGAUACCAAGUUUAUAAUGCCCCGAGUCUAUACCCCGAAUGUUACACGGUGCUUAUAGUCCCAAAGGACCGCAAGCUAACCCAUGACUGGUACCUGCUUCAAUAACUAAAUAAUAACACUAUAAUAUGCAGAAAUCAUGUAGAAACUUUCCAUAAGGUUCAAUACUGAAAUAAAACUGAAUGCGAUAUAACAAUACCAAAACUGAAACAUCUGUCUGAAAAUACUCUAGUUUGGAAAGCCUCUAAAUUGUCUGAAAUAGGGAGUUGAUGGGACAAAUCCCCAACUAACUCCGGCUACUGAAAUAAAAUGAGAUGUUGAAAUAAUAAUUAUGUCCUCGAACUAUGAGGACUCGCCACUAACUCUGACGGCUGAAAAUCUGUAACUGCUAGGGAUGAUCAGAGCCCGUGCGUCUAAACCUAUGAUAUAAAACAUCAUAGCGCAAGAAAAAAAGUAUGCGUUGGUACUUUGAAUGUACUGAUAUGCUAAAUGAGGUAGGCUAAAAUGCAUGGGUUCAUAUGCAUGAACAAUACUGACUAAAUGACAUGAAUAUAGCUAAAUGAGAGUACAUGCAUGAAUACGUAAACUAUAACUGAGAUCGUGACAACACUAAAUACUGAGUCUAAAUACUGAUUGAUUGAUAUCUGAGUAUACUGAUACUGAAUUACUAAUAACUAAAUGCCUGUAUCUGAUAGUCUUGAUUUUGUGGAACUAUACUGAGUUUCGUACUGAGCUGAGUGACUGUGCUUGACAAUCCUAAUCUGUAGAACUGAACUAAGUUCUAUUUUGAGACUUGAAUUGAAAAUGAGACUGUGGGAGAUAAUCAUCUAACCGACAUGCCCCUUUCUAAAUAAAUUGGGGUCCAACCUGUAACCCUAGUUGGAAGAGUGUCAAUACCGUGCCACAGAUAAACAUAAGCUAUGAGUUAACCCGGUCUGACAGGAAGCUCUUUCGUCAACCCUCGCUGGCAGAAAAACCUUGAAUGAGAUGUAUCAACCCUCAUAAUAUCUGGUAGGAAGAUAUCUCAACCUACGUUGGCUACAUAGUUCUGUAAUGUAGGGAUUGCUACUAAGGGUCAAGCCCUCUGUUGGCAGGAAUUCCCUCAUCCCUGGGUUGACUCGGUGUUGAAUCCUACUCCCAUCUGAAUAAACACUAAACUAAUUUUCCUAGUUCAUAAUAGGCUUGACUGAACUGUUACUGAGUUUACUGAGUUUCGUUGACUGACGAAAUACUGUUGAAUUAUGUUAGCUGACUAAGUUUACUGAGGUCUGAACUGAAUACUGAACUAAACUGAUAAUGAGUCUACUGAGUUUUUCCUGAGUUCUGCAACUGACUGAGAGUACUACUGAUCAUGACAUGAUUGAUACUAUCCUGAGACUGACCAUGGAUCUAGGUAAUCAGCUAAAUUGUCGGGUAUUAAAUACCCCUAGGACUCGAUAGCAUAAAUUGUAAGACAGGGUUCAAUCUUGAAACAUGAUAAAUAAUCUACUUGAUCAUCAUUCAUUCAUUGGGACAUUCUAGCAAACACUUGCAUGAUAUGAACUUGAAUACAUGCUAACAUGAUAUAAUUCCAUUAUUUAAUUCUCAUGAACAACUCAUCAAACACUUGGAAGACAUUUUAUAUGCACAUAGUACUAAUCAACACAUGAGCAUCACAAUUUCAAGGCUUUAACAUGAAUUCACAUGAUACUACCUACAUAAUAGUUGUUUUUACAUAAGUCUUUCACUUAAUCAUGGAAUAGAAAUCUAAUCAACAUUAUAAUCAUGAAUACACUUAAAUCCAAAUCAUGGGAAGCAUGAAAUCAAGCUACUUGAAGUUUAAAAGAGUUUCUUGGACUCUAAGGGUGGAAGGGACCCUUGGAUGAACACUUGACAUACCUUGAUUGCUAAAUUCCUGAAGAUUAAUGGUGGAAUCUUGAGCCUUGAAUUUGAAAUUCAAUCACCUAGGGUUUAUGUUCUUGAACAAUUUGUGAAAUACUGAGUGUAUGUUGCACAUAGAAGGCUAAAUUUCGUAUUUUUGGGGACUGAAGGACGUGGGAAAAAGACCCAAAUACCCCUAAGGACAAAGCUUUUAAUGACUGAAAAACCGAAUUGUCGACGCGCAGACCGGCGCGCCGUAUUAUUGGCAUCGACGCGAUGACCAACCUGCCGCGUCGAGUUCGUGUCGGUUCACUGAAAUUUGCACUGAGUGGAGGAAAAAAUUACCUGUCAACGCGACGCAUCGAGAUCGCGUCGACUCGCUGUUUUAGUCACCUAAACGUGGUCUAAACGAGGUUCGAAAAAUCCAAAACUUGUCCGGGAACACUUACUGACAUUCCUGAUCAUGAAUCAAUCUAAAGAUCAAUACUUUAAGGUCAUAGGAGUCGUGAAAUAAAGUUGCCAACUUACGAAGGCCAAAAUAAUACUAAGUUUGAAUACUUAGCUAGAAUUUUCUAAGUCUGGGACCCCUUAGCAAGCCUAAAAGACUGAGUUGAGCUUAAAAUUUUGCGGGGUCUUACAAUAUCAUAGCAUGUAGAUAACCACUUGAUAAUGCCCUGAAUAGAGAUCUUACAUACACUUGCCAAGUGUUUAAACAAUGAAUGUAAGGUCUAAACUGGUGUUUGUUAGAAAAUUUAAUUUCCCUAAUAAUCAACAUUUGAUAGUUGAAUCAACAAGCGGAGUACUGAAUUUGGCUGUGAGUUUGAUUGACGGAUUUAAAGGAGUAGAAACAUAUUUUGAGUCCAAACACUCGAAUUCAGAGAGCAAUUAUAAAGAAAAUGUCCUCUGAGUCAUGACCAGACCAUCAUUCUUACGAAUAAGUUCGAUGCCAAGAAACUAAUGUGCAAGUCCCAAGUCUUUGAUUCGAAACUCAGAUUCAAAAAAAAGUUUGAUCUCAUUGAUUUCAUGGGAAUUGUUUCCAGUGAGAAUAAUAUCAUCAACAUACACUAUUAAGAUGGUGAUGAGAUUCCGGGAUAUUUAGAAAAGAGUAAAACCUCUUGUCUUGAGGGUAGAGGAAAGACACGAAUAUCAUUGCCUCGAAGCCCAUUUAAAGCCAUAAAGGGACUUGCGUUGCUGGCAAACCUAUGAAGGAAAAGGGGCAGAAAAUCCCAGUGAAAAAUGCAUAUAAACCUCUUCAUCUAAAUCACCAUGUAGGAAUGUGUUAUUAAUAUCAAGCUAAAAUAAUUCCAGUUUUUCUUCACAACAAUUGAGAGUAAACAACGUAUAGUGGUCAUCUUAACGACAGGUGAAAAAGUCUUAGUAUAGUCGACUCCUUCUCUUUGAAUAUCACCUCAUACUACUAGACGAGCCUUUAAUGGGUCAAGUGCCCCAUUUGAUCUUAGUCUUACCUUAUAUACCUAUGUACAGGGCAAUGCUUUCUUACCCUAUGGCAAAUCAACUGUCUUAGGUGUGGUUAGAGACCAAAGCUUUAAAUUCCUUGUCCAUUGCAUCUUUCCAUCUAGGAUGCAAUAAUGCUUGACGGUAAGAAUGUGGCUCAUAAAUUUAACUAAUUAAAUUGAUGAUAUGCUUAUAUUGUGAUGACAAAACAGAAAAAGAUGCAACGUAAAAGGGAUGAAUAUGAGGAUUAGGAGAAAUAACAGAAGAAACAUGCUCACAAACAAAAUCAAAAAGACAUAGGAGGAAUAUGAGUCCAUUGAGACCUUUUGGGCUGGGCCUCUGGUGUCGUUGGUAACAUAUCAUUAGAGUUAAACUGAGGUUGUUCCUGUGGAUCGACUGUUGGUGAAGAAGAAUGAGACUGAUCAGAAGCAAUAUUAGGCAUUUAAGGAGAAAAAAUAUUUACAGAUAAUGGAGAGGGAGUAGGAGAAAGAUCUUGUGAUAUUAAGGUAGAAAACAUAAACAACUUUGUCUUGGUAGUAGAAAAAGAGAUAGGAAAUAUAUACUCAAUAAAUCUAACAUCCCUCGAAACAAAAAAACUAGUUGUUUGUGAGAUUUAAAAGUUUAUAACCCUUCUUUCCAAAGGGAUAACCUACAAAAAUAUUAGGAAGGGCUCUUGGUGCAAGUUUGUCCGUGUUUUUGGAAAGGGUGGAGAUAAUACAUAAGCAACCAAAAGGUUUUAAAUAUACAUAAUCAGAAAUUUUGACAAAAAAAACUUGAUCUGUAUAUCAAAAAAGUAUUGAGUAGUUUCAGUUGAGCUCAGAUCCUCGUUAGCUUAGUGAAGUAACCUGCUAUAGUAAUAUUGGCUUGAUUAAUAUUGUUAAAUUCCCUUUGCAGUUGGAAGAGCUUUGUACCAUUAGCAUGUCCAUAGCUUUGUUCUAGUUUACUCCACCAUUCUCUGGCAGUUGAAGAUUAGAUCACACUCUCAGCAAUAUCUCUACUGAGAGUAUUCAGUAGCCAAGAUAUCAGCCUGUCGUUAUAUCUCUGCCAUUGUAAAAACAAGGGUGAGUCUGAAUUUGGGGAUAAAGAAAAUCUAUUAAUAAAACCAAGUGUAUUCUUGGUUAAAAGAAAAAUCAACACUCCUCUUUUUCAGUAGUUAUAAGAAGUUUCAUCAAAAGUUAUAUUAAUUAGUGUCAUGCUUGGAUUAUAGGAGGAAGAAAGAAAGUAGGGGUGAGUGGAUUUAAUUAGAAUCAAGGAUGCUGAAUUCAUAGGAGUUCCUUUAGUUUCAAAAGAUUUUGGGUCAUCAGAUAUAGUCGUUUGAGAAAACAUUGAAGUGAAAAAAAAUGAAGAGAAGAUUCUUAUAGCACCUGCUCCGAUACCAUGAAAAAGAAGAAGAAUAACAGGAUUUGUAUUUAUUUCUUGUGUAUAUUCUGUAAAUCGUGAUCCGAUAUAUAUACAAAGCAUUACUUCGCAAGAAAUUUAUCCUAUGUAACAGACAUGGAUAAAAAUCUACCCUAUGUACCAAACUUAAUAAUAAAAAGAAAUUAAAAAAUUAUGGGAAAAAGACAAAAAUAACAUCUAAAAUAAACUAAUUCUACAAAAUUAGCACCCAAAUUUUUAAUACCCAUAAAUAGCCACUCGCGAAUUGGGUUUUAAACCCGAUAAAUAGCCUCGUCACUCGCAUAUGUGUAUUAUAUCAUCUUCUUCUCUCAACUUUUCUCCAUUCCUACCAUAUAAUAUGAAUUUCACAUAGAAAUUAGAAAAAAAUAAAAUUCAACCCACCAAAAUUCAAUCAAUUUCACCCCAAUUCCUAAUCUCAGACACCAAAAUUGAACCUUCUAGGGGCUUCAAUCCAAUAGUAGUCUUACAGGGACUAGCUUCCUUUCCUACUGAAUUUCACUCAAGGAUUCCGAAUUCCAAUUUUGUUUCUGUCCGAUUAAUCCGAAUUCAUAUCGGUAACAAUACUUCGACGAAAAACUUGUACACAAAAUUCGACUAUUGCACUGGCAAAGUAACUUCUUCAGUUACCUUUGUCAACCAAAUACCUUGGUAAGGACAAUAUUUUUUCCAGCGAACUAUUCUUUUGGGUUUAUGCUCGUUUUUGUGAUUUUGUUUUCGUCCGAUUAAUCAACAUUCAUAUCGGUAACAAUACGUCGGCGAAAAACUUGUUCACAAAAUUCGACUAUUGCACUGACAAAGUAACUUCUUCAGUUACCUUUGUCAACCAAAUGCCUCGGUAAGUACAAUAUUUUUUUCAGUGAAAUAUUCUUUUGGGUUUAUGCUCGUUUUUGUGAUUUCGUUUCUGUCGUUAAUCAUUUACGUGAUAUUUCUGCUACUACUAUGAUUAUUGAGAUACUUGACACAUGAUUCAGUGAGUUUUCUCUGUUUCUAUCUUUAAGCUUCACUGUAUUUUAAUGGUAGCGUUGUGGAUUUGCAUGCUUAAUUUGAAGUCGACAAAGUUAUUGGUGUAGGACAUAAAUUGAUCAAAACUUUCAAUGGAGGUCUAUGCUUGCACAAAUUUUAUAUGUAAAAGGUGUAUUUAUAUGAUAUAUAUACUGUAUCAACGUGGUAUAAAAGUGUAUUAAUGCGGUAUCAAAGUGUAUCAAUGUAGUAUAAAAGUAUAUCAAUGUUGUAUAAAAGUGUAUUAAUAUGGUAUAAAAGAGUACCAAUUAGGAAUAGGAACUGAAUGUGCUUGCAUAGAAUUUCCUUUCUCUUUUUUAAAAAGUGUAUCAAUAUAAUAUAAAAGUGUAUCAAUUUGAUAUAAAAGUAUAUCAAUUGAUUAUAGAGACUGCAUGUACCAAAUUAGGCCAAAUGGCUGAAAAAAGGAUUAGUUUAGCCGACUGGACAACCCAUGUCCACCUUUUCAGAUGGGGGCCAUUUUUUUUUUUAAAUAGUUAUACCAUGUCCUUUUUCCUAUCUAUUUAUACUAGUACAAUGUCUAAUCUGUCCCUAUACAUUAUUCUAGAAAUAAGGGAAUAAAUCCUAUUAGAGAGAAAGUCACAGCUGGACAAUUUUCAAUCGAUAUAUGCUAAUUUUCAAUAAUUUGUCUAUGUAGAUGACACAAUCUUUUUUUGCUCAGGUCAUAAAGGUUCAGUGAAAAAAAUGAUGAGGGUACUACAUGAUUAUGAGAAAGUAUCUGGCCAGUUAAUCAUCCUUUCUAAGAGCUACAUAUAUACAUAACAAAGUUUCUAUAACAGAUAAGCACAAACUGAGAAGAUUAACAGGCAUUGAUGUAGGACAUCUCCUAUUCACAUACCUAGGAUGCCCAAUUUUCUAUAGAAGGCAGAAGAAGAUAUAUUUUGAGGAGAUCAUAAGGCAUUACAGGAUGUUAACUUAUAGGGGAAGGUAUGUAUUAUUAUGUAAUGUCCUGUAAUCAAUGACCAUGUAAUCAAUGACCAUAUAUCUGAUAUUUGUAAUGAACCCUCCGAAAGGUGUUAUUGAUGAAAUACAUAGGCUGAUAGCUAGGUUUUUUUGGGGUAAAAUAGGAGGUUCAAAAGAGAAGCAAUGGGCCACAUAGGAUGAUUUGUGCUAUCCAAAGACAGAAAAGGAAAUUGGCUUUCGAUCUUUGCAUACAGUUUCUGAUGCUUUGUUGGCAGUGGAAUUUCAAAACAUCUAUAGACUUUAUGUGGAGCCACUUUAUGUGGAACAAGUAUUGCAAGAAAAAACAUCCUGUAUUUCCACAAGGUUUUGAAAUUUCACAAGUUUGGAGAAAAACAAUACAGGUUAGGAAAAAAUAGAACACUAUAUCUUUUGGCAGAUUAAUAAUGGAGUUGUCAGCUUUUGGUUUGACAACUAGACUCAGUUAGACACUCUAUAUUUCACUGAUGAAGAAAAUAAUAUUGAGAAGGAGAUAGAAGUCACAUAAUUUAUAAUAGAAGAUGGUUCCUGAAAUGUGGAAAAGCUGAAAGAGUAUAUUUCAGAAGAGAGAAUACAACACAUAAAGGAUACCAUCAAAUCAUAUAAAAAUGAGAUAGACAGGGACAAAGCUUGGUGGAGGCCUACUUCAGAUAGUAAAUUCAGUAUCAAAGAUACACAUGAGGUAUUAAGGAAGAAAAGAAGGACCAAUGAGGAGUGCAAAUUGAUCUAGAACAAAACUUUGCCUACAAAGUUACGUUUCUUUUCAUGGAGAGCUUUGAAGGGAAGGAUACCUACAGAUGACAAUCUUGCUAAACUAAGGAUUCAUAUAGUAUCAAGGUGUUAGUGCUGUGAGAAACCCAAACAGAAAACUAUGGAACACUUAUUUCUAAAAACUCCCAUAACUACUAAGUUAUGGAAGCAGUUUGCUAAUUUUCUAGUUAUUAAAAUUGAAAGAGCAUAAUUACCACUUGUGAUCAGAAUGUGGUGGUUUAAAGAAGCACCCACAAAAUUACAGCAAAUCUACAGGGAGUUACCAGCAAUUAUUAUAUGGGUUUUGUGGGAAAAGGAGAAACAAACUGAAGCAUAGAGACAUUGCUCAAAUAAGUGAUAAAGUUAAAAUUCCCAUUGAUAAAGGAUACAGGGAACAAUUGGGCAGAUUUGGUGACCUAGUUCAAGAGAUAUAAACCAAGGUUGUAUUGCUAUGCAGUGAAAUGGACACUAUCCACAUAGGAGAGGUUAAAGUACAAUACAGAUGGUGCCUCUAAGAGAAAUCUAGGACAAGGAGCAUAUGGAUUUAUUGUGAGAAGAGAUGAUAGAAACUUAAUAUAUGCUCAAGAAGGUGGGCUGGGCAUUACUACUACUAUGAUAGUAGAGAUGACAACAAUUUUGAAGGCAGUAAGAUUUUGCGCAUUGAGGAAUUUUAGGGACAUGGAAAUAGAAUCAGAUUCUUUGGCUUUGGUUAAUAUUGUAAGAAAUGUGUGACAGAUCCCAUGGGAAAUGAUUGAAGCAAUAGAAGAAAUAAGAAACCUGAUGUCUAAUAUAAAUGCUACAAUCACAUACAUUUACAGGGAGGAGAAUACAUUUGUAGAUUAUCUAGCUAAUCUAGCUACUCAAUCAGAACAUACAAAAACAUUCAACAAAUUUUAGCAAUUACCACCAGUAGAAAGGAAGAUUUUUAAUAUGGAUAAGAUGCAAAUUCCUAAUUUGAGAAUUAACUAAGAUGAUAAAUCUAUAUUAAAAAAUGUUCGGCCUAUGCAACACAUGCAAAAUGUAGAUUCUGAGCAGCAAAGGCAUUUACAGUGAACUAAAUCCUUAUACAAGGACCAACACUGCUGCUAAAUACGAUAGCCAAAUCUAUGUUAGCUCACAAAAACUAUCACCAAAAACAAAGGAGAAAUGCGUCAUAUAUGUCCAUUGGCCUAGGAGGUCUGUCAUAAGCCUAUAUUAGCAAUGGAUCCAUCAUCUUCAAUGCAUAUCUAAUAGAAAAAGGAAGAGAAGAUUUUUAUCUUAGAUUCAAAGUGAUAAUGAAGAGCAGAAAGGUUACUUAUGGAUGAACUGCAAACCUUGGACGUUUCCCCUUUCUCUUUCACUCCAGAAACAACCCCACCACCUGAAACUUGGUAGAGUUUGUAAAGUGGAUAGGUGUAAAGACAAAUCUCUACAAAUGUUACCUUUGUUUUUUGACAACCUUUUUUGUGAAAAAGACACACAACACAAGGAUGGAACAAUAUUUAUCACCCACAGAAGAAGUAGAAUCAGUUUGGAAUUAAGGCGGCAACAUCUUAGAAGCACGUUGAAGGUGGAGAGGCGACCAAAGAUGGAAAUGGAAAUAAUAGGAAUUUCUUACAUUUUUAUAGCUAGGUCAAAUAGGAAAUUGGGCUUGACCUGCAAUAAUUUUCAGGAUUUGUUUUCUUUUUGGCAUUGGGCCAUAAACUUUUUUUGUUUUAUUGAUUAUUAAUAAAAUGGCUGCAAAGCCACAAAAAUUUCC